UGCAGUCGAGGGGCAGCAUGAACUUAGCUUGCUAAGUUUGAUGGCGACCGGCGCACGGGUGAGUAACGCGUAUGCAACUUGCCUAUCAGAGGAGAAUAGCUCAUCGAAAGAUGAAUUAAUGCUCCAUAAAACAGGGGUCCCGCAUGGGAAUAUUUGUUAAAGAUUCAUCGCUGAUAGAUAGGCAUGCGUUCCAUUAGGCAGUUGGCGGGGUAACGGCCCACCAAACCGGCGAUGGAUAGGGGUUCUGAGAGGAAGGUCCCCCACAUUGGUACUGAGACACGGACCAAACUCCUACGGGAGGCAGCAGUGAGGAAUAUUGGUCAAUGGCCGAGAGGCUGAACCAGCCAAGUCGCGUGAAGGAUGAAGGAUCUAUGGUUUGUAAACUUCUUUUAUACGGGAAUAAAGUGAGCCACGUGUGGCUUUUUGUAUGUACCGUAUGAAUAAGCAUCGGCUAACUCCGUGCCAGCAGCCGCGGUAAUACGGAGGAUGCGAGCGUUAUCCGGAUUUAUUGGGUUUAAAGGGUGCGUAGGUGGUCUUUUAAGUCAGCGGUGAAAGUUUGUGGCUCAACCAUAAAAUUGCCAUUGAAACUGGGAGACUUGAGUAUGUUUGAGGUAGGCGGAAUGCGUGGUGUAGCGGUGAAAUGCAUAGAUAUCACGCAGAACUCCGAUUGCGAAAGGCAGCUUGCCAAGCCAUAACUGACACUGAAGCACGAAAGCGUGGGUAUCAAAC
This 729-nucleotide ribosomal RNA is filed under the name uncultured bacterium. RNAcentral's name for it is "bacterial SSU rRNA". It matches the Rfam family "Bacterial small subunit ribosomal RNA", at positions 56 to 773 of the family's 1533-position model. The record is from RNAcentral.